This 1086-nucleotide ribosomal RNA is filed under the name Triticum aestivum (bread wheat). RNAcentral describes it as "partial small subunit ribosomal RNA". The record is from RNAcentral. Lineage: Eukaryota; Viridiplantae; Streptophyta; Magnoliopsida; Poales; Poaceae.
AUGCGGAUCCGCAGGUCUGCCGCCCGCCUGCUCGGCUCCGCCUACUCCGCCCCCGCGCCGCCGCAACCAGACCUCCCGCUUCCGCCCCCGCCCCCGCCCCCGCCCCCGCCCCCGCCGCCGCCAGUACUGGAGCCCUGCUCCUCCCACGCGGGGGGCGACAGGGUCACGGCCGGGGGGACCUCCUCCGCGGAGCGGUGCGAGCUCAGCCGGUCGCCGUGGGAGCUCAUGGCCCAGCUCGACCCCUCCGAUCCCAAGGAGGUGGAACACUUCAUGGGGAAAUACUUCGUCAGUGUCCCAUGCCGGACGAGCUGGCUCUUCCAGGCCAGCAUUCUUGCGGCCUCCAUCAAGGGGGAGGAACAAGAGGAGGACAUGGCCGGAGAUAUGGCUGACGAGGUCUUUGCCAAACAGCGGCAUAAGGUUGCCAAGAUGAAAAGGACAGUCAGGGAAAACAGAGGGGGUGAGAAGAAUGCGUGGGGGCUGAAGAAGGCCACGGAGGUUCAGAGUGAUGAGGACGAUUUCGUAGCUGCCGGAGGAGGAGAACUUUGGGUGUGCACCAAGAACGACGGCAAGAGGAGGUUUUGCCGGCUGCCGGUGAGCCAGCCCGAUUCCUUUUGUGUAUAUCACUCAGAUCCUAAGUCUGCGCUGCCGCCGGCUUCAUCAGCAGCCUCCAAACCCUCCAUCAGCGCCAAGCCACGUAAGAGGAGGCGUGUCGAUGCAGGUGAGGGGUACUUAUACUACGCUGGGUUCGGCCCGUCCCUCAGCAAGAGGCAGAGAUCAAGCAGCAAUGUACUAGAAUCUUUACCUGCUGAGCAAGAGGAGGAGGCACUGCCUGAAGAGCAUACUGCAGGUCCAGCCCAAACUGUUGAUGCAGACCAUCAAGCGGCAUCAGCACACGUUGAUGAGCCUAGGUGCGAUGAGAUGGCCGGGAUUGCGGGCGGGGACGAGGAGAGCAGCGACGACGCGCUUGGCUGCAACGAUGAACCCCGGGUUGUUGGCGUCAACGGCAACAUCAAGAGGAAGAGCCCGUUUAAGAAGAGGUGGAGGAAGCCUGUGAAAGCUCGCUCACUCAAGUCAUUGAUGUGUUAG